This 497-nucleotide ribosomal RNA is filed under the name uncultured bacterium. RNAcentral describes it as "partial 16S ribosomal RNA". It matches the Rfam family "Bacterial small subunit ribosomal RNA", at positions 28 to 507 of the family's 1533-position model. The record is from RNAcentral.
GAUGAACGCUGGCGGCGUGCCUAAUACAUGCAAGUCGAGCGAACAGACGAGGAGCUUGCUCCUCUGACGUUAGCGGCGGACGGGUGAGUAACACGUGGAUAACCUACCUAUAAGACUGGGAUAACUUCGGGAAACCGGAGCUAAUACCGGAUAAUAUAUUGAACCGCAUGGUUCAAUAGUGAGAGACGGUUUUGCUGUCACUUAUAGAUGGAUCCGCGCCGCAUUAGCUAGUUGGUAAGGUAACGGCUUACCAAGGCAACGAUGCGUAGCCGACCUGAGAGGGUGAUCGGCCACACUGGAACUGAGACACGGUCCAGACUCCUACGGGAGGCAGCAGUAGGGAAUCUUCCGCAAUGGGCGAAAGCCUGCCGGAGCAACGCCGCGUGAGUGAUGAAGGUCUUCGGAUCGUAAAACUCUGUUAUUAGGGAAGAACAAAUGUGUAAGUAACUAUGCACGUCUUGACGGUACCUAAUCAGAAAGCCACGGCUAACUACGUG